This 654-nucleotide ribosomal RNA is filed under the name uncultured archaeon. RNAcentral's name for it is "bacterial SSU rRNA". It matches the Rfam family "Archaeal small subunit ribosomal RNA", at positions 508 to 1160 of the family's 1478-position model. The record is from RNAcentral.
GCCUAAAGCGUCCGUAGCCGGCUUUGUAAGUUUUCGGUUAAAUCUAUAUGCUCAACAUAUAGGCUGCCGGGAAUACUGCAAAGCUAGGGAGUGGGAGAGGUAGACGGUACUCCGUAGGAAGGGGUAAAAUCCUUUGAUCUAUGGAUGACCACCUGUGGCGAAGGCGGUCUACCAGAACACGUUCGACGGUGAGGGAUGAAAGCUGGGGGAGCAAACCGGAUUAGAUACCCGGGUAGUCCCAGCUGUAAACUAUGCAAACUCAGUGAUGCAUUGGCUUGUGGCCAGUGCAGUGCCGCAGGGAAGCCGUUAAGUUUGCCGCCUGGGAAGUACGUACGCAAGUAUGAAACUUAAAGGAAUUGGCGGGGGAGCACCACAAGGGGUGAAGCCUGCGGUUUAAUUGGAGUCAACGCCAGAAAUCUUACCCGGAGAGACAGCAGGAUGAAGGUCAAGCUGAAGACUUUACCAGACAAGCUGAGAAGUGGUGCAUGGCCGUCGCCAGCUCGUGCCGUGAGGUGUCCUGUUAAGUCAGGUAACGAGCGAGAUCCUUGCCUCUAGUUGCCACCAUUACUCUCAGGAGUAGUGGGGCGAAUUAGCGGGACUGCCGUAGUUAAUACGGAGGAAGGAGAGGGCCACGGCAGGUCAGUAUGCCCCGAA